UUCCUACGGGGGGCAGCGGUGGGGAAUAUUGCACAAUGGGCGCAAGCCUGAUGCAGCCAUGCCGCGUGUAUGAAGAAGUAUUUCGGUAUGUAAAGCUCUAUCAGCAGGGAAGAAAAUGACGGUACCUGACUAAGAAGCCCCGGCUAACUACGUGCCAGCAGCCGCGGUAAUACGUAGGGGGCAAUCGUUAUCCGGAUUUACUGGGUGUAAAGGGAGCGUAGACGGCAGAGCAAGUCUGAAGUGAAAGCCCGCGGCCCAACUGCGGGACUGCUUUGGAAACUGCCCGUCUAGAGUGC
This 296-nucleotide ribosomal RNA is filed under the name uncultured bacterium. Its description in RNAcentral is "partial 16S ribosomal RNA". It matches the Rfam family "Bacterial small subunit ribosomal RNA", at positions 336 to 649 of the family's 1533-position model. The record is from RNAcentral.